UUAUGGCUCAGAACGAACGCUGGCGGCGUGCUUAACACAUGCAAGUCGAACGCGAAAGGGACUUCGGUCCUGAGUAAAGUGGCGCACGGGUGAGUAACGCGUAGAUAACCUGUCUUCAUGUCUGGAAUAAUACGCCGAAAGGGGUACUAAUACCGGAUAUUCUUGCUUUUCAUAAGUUAUGCAAGCAAAGGUGGCCUCUGCAUAUGCUACUGCAUGAAGAGGGGUCUGCGUACCAUUAGCUAGUAGGUGGGGUAAUGGCCUACCUAGGCGACGAUGGUUAGCGGGUCUGAGAGGAUGAUCCGCCACACUGGCACUGGAACACGGGCCAGACUCCUACGGGAGGCAGCAGUGAGGAAUAUUGCGCAAUGGGGGAAACCCUGACGCAGCGACGCCGCGUGAAGUGAGGAAGGCCUUCGGGUCGUAAAGCUCUGUCAAGAGGAAAGAAGUGUACAAUGGCUAAUACCUGUUGUAUUUGACGGUACCUCUAAAGGAAGCACCGGCUAACUCCGUGCCAGCCGCCGC
RNAcentral lists this ribosomal RNA (522 nucleotides) under uncultured bacterium. Its description in RNAcentral is "bacterial SSU rRNA". It matches the Rfam family "Bacterial small subunit ribosomal RNA", at positions 17 to 518 of the family's 1533-position model. The record is from RNAcentral.